Molecule: ribosomal RNA, 467 nt
Filed under: uncultured bacterium
Lineage: Bacteria
Description: partial 16S ribosomal RNA
Rfam family: Bacterial small subunit ribosomal RNA
Source: RNAcentral
GAUGAACGCUGGCGGCGUGCUUAACACAUGCAAGUCGAACGGAAAGGCCCAAGCUUGCUUGGGUACUCGAGUGGCGAACGGGUGAGUAACACGUGGGUGAUCUGCCCUGCACUUCGGGAUAAGCCUGGGAAACUGGGUCUAAUACCGGAUAGGACCACUUCUUGGAUGUUGUGGUGGAAAGUUUUUUCGGUGUGGGAUGAGCUCGCGGCCUAGCAGCUUGUUGGUGGGGUAAUGGCCUACCAAGGCGUCGACGGGUAGCCGGCCUGAGAGGGUGUACGGCCACAUUGGGACUGAGAUACGGCCCAGACUCCUACGGGAGGCAGCAGUGGGGAAUAUUGCACAAUGGGCGCAAGCCUGAUGCAGUGACGCCGCGUGGGGGAUGACGGCCUUCGGGUUGUAAACUCCUUUCGCUAGGGACGAAGCGUUUUGUGACGGUACCUGGAGAAGAAGCACCGGCUAACUACGUG